RNAcentral lists this non-coding RNA (29 nucleotides) under Homo sapiens (human). The record is from RNAcentral. Lineage: Eukaryota; Metazoa; Chordata; Mammalia; Primates; Hominidae.
UCAGAGGGAAGAGGUCAGGCCUUGGAAUC